Molecule: ribosomal RNA, 700 nt
Filed under: uncultured bacterium
Lineage: Bacteria
Description: bacterial SSU rRNA
Rfam family: Bacterial small subunit ribosomal RNA
Source: RNAcentral
ACCGGCGCACGGGUGCGUAACGCGUAUGCAAUCUACCUUGUACAGGGGAAUAGCCCAGAGAAAUUUGGAUUAAUGCCCCAUAGUAUAUAACCUUCGCAUGUUGGUUAUAUUAAAGUUCCAACGGUACAAGAUGAGCAUGCGUCCCAUUAGUUAGUUGGUAAGGUAACGGCUUACCAAGACGAUGAUGGGUAGGGGUCCUGAGAGGGAGAUCCCCCACACUGGUACUGAGACACGGACCAGACUCCUACGGGAGGCAGCAGUGAGGAAUAUUGGUCAAUGGUCGCAAGACUGAACCAGCCAUGCCGCGUGCAGGAAGACGGUCCUAUGGAUUGUAAACUGCUUUUAUACAGGAAGAAACCCUCCCACGUGUGGGAGCUUGACGGUACUGUAGGAAUAAGGAUCGGCUAACUCCGUGCCAGCAGCCGCGGUAAUACGGAGGAUCCAAGCGUUAUCCGGAAUCAUUGGGUUUAAAGGGUCCGUAGGCGGUCUUAUAAGUCAGUGGUGAAAGCCCAUCGCUCAACGAUGGAACUGCCAUUGAUACUGUAGGACUUGAAUGCUUAGGAAGUAACUAGAAUAUGUAGUGUAGCGGUGAAAUGCUUAGAUAUUACAUGGAAUACCAAUUGCGAAGGCAGGUUACUACUAAGUGAUUGACGCUGAUGGACGAAAGCGUGGGGAGCGAACAGGAUUAGAUACCCUGGUA